CCACGGAUUCCGUGACGCAGCUAACGCAUUAAGUUCCCCGCCUGGGGAGUACGGCCGCAAGGCUAAAACUCAAAGGAAUUGACGGGGACCCGCACAAGCGGCGGAGCAUGCGGAUUAAUUCGAUGCAACGCGAAGAACCUUACCAAGGCUUGACAUACACCAGAACACCGUAGAAAUACGGGACUCUUUGGACACUGGUGAACAGGUGGUGCAUGGUUGUCGUCAGCUCGUGUCGUGAGAUGUUGGGUUAAGUCCCGCAACGAGCGCAACCCUCGUUCUAUGUUGCCAGCACGUUAUGGUGGGAACUCAUGGGAUACUGCCGGGGUCAACUCGGAGGAAGGUGGGGAUGACGUCAAAUCAUCAUGCCCCUUAUGUCUUGGGCUUCACGCAUGCUACAAUGGCCGGUACAAAGGGUGCAAUACCUGAGGUGGAGCGAAUCCCAAAAACCGGUCCCAUUCGGAUGAGGUUUACUCGACCUCAGAGAUUAUUCCUCCCAUGAC
Molecule: ribosomal RNA, 500 nt
Filed under: Microbacterium sp.
Lineage: Bacteria; Bacillati; Actinomycetota; Actinomycetes; Micrococcales; Microbacteriaceae
Description: bacterial SSU rRNA
Rfam family: Bacterial small subunit ribosomal RNA
Source: RNAcentral